CAAUACGGAGUGGCAGACGGGUGAGUAACACGUGGGAACGUACCCUUUGGUUCGGAACAACACAGGGAAACUUGUGCUAAUACCGGAUAAGCCCUUACGGGGAAAGAUUUAUCGCCAAAGGAUCGGCCCGCGUCUGGAUUAGCUAGUUGGUGAGGUAACGGCUCACCAAGGCUACGAUCAGUAGCUGGUCUGAGAGGAUGAUCAGCCACACUGGGACUGAGACACGGCCCAG
RNAcentral lists this ribosomal RNA (232 nucleotides) under uncultured bacterium. Its description in RNAcentral is "partial 16S ribosomal RNA". It matches the Rfam family "Bacterial small subunit ribosomal RNA", at positions 86 to 334 of the family's 1533-position model. The record is from RNAcentral.